RNAcentral lists this ribosomal RNA (482 nucleotides) under uncultured bacterium. RNAcentral's name for it is "bacterial SSU rRNA". It matches the Rfam family "Bacterial small subunit ribosomal RNA", at positions 28 to 511 of the family's 1533-position model. The record is from RNAcentral.
GAUGAACGCUAGCGGGAGGCUUAACACAUGCAAGUCGAAGGGCAGCACGUCUUCGGAUGGUGGCGACUGGCGAACGGGUGCGUAACGCGUAUGCAAUCUACCCUCAACAGGGGAAUAGCCCAGAGAAAUUUGGAUUAAUACCCCAUAGUAUUACAGAUUCGCAUGUUUCUGUGAUUAAAGUUCCAACGGUUGAGGAUGGGCAUGCGUGACAUUAGCUUGUUGGUGAGGUAACGGCUCACCAAGGCAACGAUGUCUAGGGGUUCUGAGAGGAUGAUCCCCCANACUGGUACUGAGACACGGACCAGACUCCUACGGGAGGCAGCAGUGAGGAAUAUUGGACAAUGGGCGCAAGCCUGAUCCAGCCAUGCCGCGUGCAGGAUGACGGUCCUAUGGAUUGAACCUGCUUUUUGACGAGAAGAAACACUCCGACGUGUCGGAGCUUGACGGUAUCGUAAGAUAAGGAUCGGCUAACUCCGUGCCAG